CCUACGGGUGGCUGCAGUGGGGAAUAUUGGACAAUGGGGGCAACCCUGAUCCAGCCAUGCCGCGUGUGUGAAGAAGGCCUUCGGGUUGUAAAGCACUUUAAGUGGGGAGGAAGGCUCGCUGGUUAAUAGUCAGCGGGAGUGACGUUACCCACAGAAUAAGCACCGGCAAACUCCGUGCCAGCAGCCGCGGUAAUACGGAGGGUGCGGGCGUUAAUCGGAAUUAGUGGGUUUAAUGCGUCGGUAGUCAGUUCCCUGGGCUCAACCUGGGAGCUGCAUUCGAUACUGGCAGACUUGAAUACGGUAGAGGGGGGUGGAAUUCCAGGUGUAGCGGUGAAAUGCGUAGAGAUCUGGAGGAACACCAGUGGCGAAGGCGGCCCCCUGGACCGAUAUUGACGCUGAGGUGCGAAAGCGUGGGGAGCAAACAGGAUUAGAUACCCCUGUAGUC
Molecule: ribosomal RNA, 445 nt
Filed under: uncultured bacterium
Lineage: Bacteria
Description: partial 16S ribosomal RNA
Rfam family: Bacterial small subunit ribosomal RNA
Source: RNAcentral